RNAcentral lists this non-coding RNA (70 nucleotides) under Solirubrobacterales bacterium. Its description in RNAcentral is "Fluoride sequence". It matches the Rfam family "Fluoride riboswitch aptamer (crcB RNA motif)". Lineage: Bacteria; Bacillati; Actinomycetota; Thermoleophilia; Solirubrobacterales. The record is from RNAcentral.
AUAGCCCCGAGCGAUGGGGCUCGCUCCUUCAUAACCGCGGUUUCAAUCCGCUGAUGGCUCCUGUCAACCG